This 255-nucleotide ribosomal RNA is filed under the name uncultured archaeon. Its description in RNAcentral is "partial 16S ribosomal RNA". It matches the Rfam family "Archaeal small subunit ribosomal RNA", at positions 748 to 1001 of the family's 1478-position model. The record is from RNAcentral.
AGGGUGUAAACGCUGCAGACUUGGUGUUGGGAACCCUUCGGGGGUGCUCAGUGCCGGAGAGAAGUUGUUAAGUCUGCUACUUGGGGAGUACGUCCGCAAGGAUGAAACUUAAAGGAAUUGGCGGGGGAGCACCGCAACGGGAGGAGCGUGCGGUUUAAUUGGAUUCAACACCGUAAAACUCACCAGGGAAGACUGUUACAUGAAAGCCGAGAUGAAGACUCUGCUAGAUUUUUCAGAGAGGUGGUGCAUGGCGUC